AACUUAAAGGAAUUGACGGGGGCCCGCACAAGCGGAGGAGCAUGUGGUUUAAUUCGAUGAUACGCGAGGAACCUUACCUGGGCUCGAACGUAAGAUGACUGUAGGUGAAAGCUUACAUCUCUUCGGAGCAUUUUACGAGGUGCUGCAUGGUUGUCGUCAGCUCGUGCCGUGAGGUGUCGGGUUAAGUCCCAUAACGAGCGCAACCCCUACCUUUAGUUGCCAUCAGGUUAAGCUGGGGACUCUAAAGGAACUGCCUACGCAAGUAGUGAGGAAGGCGGGGAUGACGUCAAGUCAUCAUGGCCCUUACGGCCUGGGCUACACACGUGCUACAAUGGUCGGUACAAAGGGUUGCCAAGCCGCGAGGUGGAGCUAAUCCCAUAAAACCGAUCGUAGUCCGGAUCGCAGUCUGCAACUCGACUGCGUGAAGUCGGAAUCGCUAGUAAUCGUGAAUCAGAAUGUCACGGUGAAUACGUUCCCGGGCCUU
Molecule: ribosomal RNA, 484 nt
Filed under: uncultured Sphingobacteriales bacterium
Lineage: Bacteria; Pseudomonadati; Bacteroidota; Sphingobacteriia; Sphingobacteriales
Description: bacterial SSU rRNA
Rfam family: Bacterial small subunit ribosomal RNA
Source: RNAcentral